Molecule: ribosomal RNA, 775 nt
Filed under: uncultured Neocallimastigales
Lineage: Eukaryota; Fungi; Neocallimastigomycota; Neocallimastigomycetes; Neocallimastigales
Description: partial large subunit ribosomal RNA
Rfam family: Eukaryotic large subunit ribosomal RNA
Source: RNAcentral
CGUCUAUAUACGUAUAGCAUAUCAAUAAGCGGAGGAAAAGAAACUAACAAGGAUUCCCCUAGUAACGGCGAGUGAAGCGGGAAGAGCUCAAAUUUGAAAUCUUAAAGGGUUUCCCUUUACGAAUUGUAGUUUAAAGAAGUGUUUUCUGUUGAGGUUUUGGUAAAAGUUCUUUGGAAUAGGACAUCAUAGAGGGUGAGAAUCCCGUAUUUGACCUUUACUUUCUAACUUUGUGAUACACUUUCAAAGAGUCGGAUUGUUUGGGAAUGCAGUCCAAAAUGGGUGGUAAAUUUCAUCUAAAGCUAAAUAUUGGCGAGAGACCGAUAGCGAACAAGUACCGUGAGGGAAAGAUGAAAAGAACUUUGAAAAGAGAGUUAAACAGUACGUGAAAUUGUCAAAAGGGAAGCGUUUGACACCAGUGUUGUUUUUCUGAAAAUCAAUUAAAGAACUGUUUAUGCUAAGCUGUUUAGACUUUAUCAGCUAUCUGUUUAGUUUUGAGCUUUUCUUUAAUGCACUUUUCAGUUAACAAGUCAACAUCAAUUUCUUUUGCUGUAAAAAAGCUUGAGGAAGGUGGCUUGAGAUUCGUCUUAAGUGUUUAUAGCCUCUUGCCUAUGCAGUCGGAGAGAUUGAGGUCUGCAGCGUAGAUCCUUCGGGGCUAAUGCAUUUGUGCUAAGUUAUAGCAUUUUAUAGACAACUUGUUGACUAUGAUUUGUCUUGUAGCUUACUCGCUUAUGUUAUUUUACCUACGCUUAGGAUGUUGAUCUGAUAUGUAGUCGUA